Molecule: unclassified non-coding RNA, 1241 nt
Filed under: Hevea brasiliensis (rubber tree)
Lineage: Eukaryota; Viridiplantae; Streptophyta; Magnoliopsida; Malpighiales; Euphorbiaceae
Source: RNAcentral
CGUGCCGGAACUGAAACUGAAAAUCGAUCCUCUUCUUCUCUGUAACACUUCAAUUCAAUGAGCAAUCAAUCAUUCGACGAAUCGAACAUUCUAGAAACCAAACUACAAGAUAAGAUAACCCAGAAAGAAAUAUCAAAACGAGUUCCAGAUUUUGACCAAAACCAAGUUGCUGAUGAGGAGUUACAUAAGCUCCUUCUACCUGACGUCCGCGACCUUCCUCUAAUUCCACCCUCUUCAAUUGAGACCAACUUCGUCUCCUAUUUUGCUCCAGAUUUUAUAAAGCCAGGACACGACCAGUACGUUUAUCGCCAUGCCAAUGGGUAUAUGUUCUGAGCUUUUUUUUCGUUGUUUAAAGUGUUGGGUUUUGAUUAGUGUUGAAUAAAAUGUUGCCAUUUUCAUGAUCGGAAGUUUGUGUGUGAUCGGCUUGGCUCCUACCCAUGUGGCUUUUAAGGAUGGAGGAGGAAUCACGGCCGUUGAUUUCAAUGUUGGCAAGUCUGAUCGGAGUGGCAUUAAGGUCACUGGAAAGCGCAAAAAGAAUGCACAACACUUUGAGUCAAACACGGCUUUGUGUAAAGUUUGCACGCAGGAUGCUUUCUAUAUUGUCAGGUGUUGUGUUAAAGGCUCAUUGUUGGAAGUAAAUGAUAAGCUAAUCAAACAGCCGGAAUUACUUAAUUCUUCGGCAGAUAGAGAAGGAUACAUUGCUAUUAUCAUGCCAAAGCCAGCAGAUUGGCUGAAGGUCAAGGCUUCGUUACUGAGCCUUGAAGAAUACAAGAAAAUGAGAGAAGGUAGGUGAGUAUUGGGAAACUUGGAUCAAUUUCUGGCAUUGGAUUAAAACAAAAAAAAAAAGUCAUGCUGCCUUGCCUAGGUGCAUUCGCAGGGAAUCUCGCCCAUCAUCAGUAAUUACAGUGCCCUCCCAACAUGGCUUUUCUCUAGAUCUCAGUGGGGGAGGAUGAAUUGUAAUGCUAUCCCAUUUUUUGUGUUGUGUUAAAUUAUUUUAUCAAAUUUUCCCAUUAAUAGAAUAAGGACAAUAAUUAAGUAAUUGGAUUAUGUUUCUUUGCAUAUUUGAGAACAAAAAUUAGAGUUAUUCAGACUACAGUUUAUACGCAAGUAGCAUAAGCCACAAGGUCCUCUAAUUGUGCUUAAUGCAGAUUGUACACAGUAUUCAGAUGUUUCUUGAAUUUCUUAUCUUAAAAAAUUAUAGUAAAAACAGAGCUGAUAUUUAAUGUACACAUGGAAUUCUG